UGAAAGGCGAAACGUAAUGUGAAUCGCAACUAACAGUGAAUCAUCGAAUCUUUGAACGCAGGCCGCACUCUCUGGCGUCUCAUUUCGGUGAAAUGCCAGGAAGUAUCUAUGUAUGAGUGCCAGUUAACAGACUUUUGGUUCAUGAAGGCAUAUUAAGCAUUUUUAAUAGAAAACUCAUGAAUACAACGCAUGUCUGAGUGACAUGUCACGUUGACUAUUAUUUUAGUCUGGCCUCAUAUAUGGAAGGUUACCCGCUGGAUUUAA
RNAcentral lists this unclassified non-coding RNA (264 nucleotides) under uncultured fungus. RNAcentral's name for it is "sequence contains ITS1". The stretch from base 1 to 122 matches the Rfam family "5.8S ribosomal RNA", at positions 49 to 154 of the family's 154-position model. The record is from RNAcentral. Lineage: Eukaryota; Fungi.